Molecule: non-coding RNA, 27 nt
Filed under: Mus musculus (house mouse)
Lineage: Eukaryota; Metazoa; Chordata; Mammalia; Rodentia; Muridae
Source: RNAcentral
UACAUGUACGUUCAUGGGAUGUAGCCU